GGUCCCAUGGUGUAAUGGUUAGCACUCUGGACUCUGAAUCCAGCGAUCCGAGUUCGAAUCUCGUUGGGACCU
RNAcentral lists this transfer RNA (72 nucleotides) under Nematostella vectensis (starlet sea anemone). It matches the Rfam family "tRNA". Rfam says of the family: Transfer RNA (tRNA) molecules are approximately 80 nucleotides in length. The record is from Rfam by way of RNAcentral. Lineage: Eukaryota; Metazoa; Cnidaria; Anthozoa; Actiniaria; Edwardsiidae.